GGGAAGGCCAGGGCAGGCGGCUGAGAUGAAAGUGGUGGGCAGGCAGGUGGCCUCUCCCCUGCCCUGUCAGCACUUUUUAAUGUCCCCUGGUUAGAAUGUGUGGGAGGAGUGGGGCGAGGGAAGCUGGAGCUCACCUUUCCCAGGCCCCAAAGGAGGGGGCUGGGGCAGCCCGGGUUGGGUGGGAGGAAUGCAGCUCCUCCUGGAACUGAAAGGAAGAGCCUGGCUCCUGCCCCGGUCCCCUCCCCACCUCUACAUUGCCCUCUCUCAGUCUGUCUAGAGGAGGCGGGGUAGGGAAGCACUGGGAAAUCAGAUGAGCAGAAAGGGAGGCGGAAGAGAUGGCUCUGUGGGGUGUGGGUGUGCACACUUGCACACAUAUGCAUGCAGGUUACUAUCCGGGGGUUUGCAUUUGAACCUGAGUAAAUAAAUGCAUUUGAGGCUGAGUUCAUGGAACUGUGUCAGUGAGACCAUGUGGGUGUUUGGGUUCAGCUCUCUGUGUGGGAAUUUAAAUUUUAAAACAGGGACUUUGGUCCUGACUUGGCCUUGGCUUUGGGCAGGUCAUUCAACCUCCUUCAGCUGUGUUGCUUCAACUCUAAGGCAGAGAAGAGGGUAUCCUGUUUCACAGGAUGGUCAUGAGGCUUAAACAAAUGGAAAUGUCCCACUGCGAGUCACCCUAUAGGUAUGCAGUUUUGUUGUUAAUAAUUGCAUGUGAGGUGUGUUGGGUGACUGUGGGUGAUAGAGUAGGGAUGUCUGGGGGCCUGAGGGUCUUUAUGAAUGAGUCACAGUGGGUGUCUGGCCAAGAGAACCAGAUGUUCAUAAGUAUGAGCUCUCUUUGCAAUGAGUCUGGUGAGUGUGAACUGGGAAGAUAGACAUGUGGGCAUCAUGCUGGGGUAUAUGAACACGUCUGUGGGGUGGAGGGUGCUGAGGGAUGGCCUGUGACUGAGUGUGCACGUCCUUGUUACUGUGUGUGUCUGCUUGCACUAGGUUCUUUUGUGUCUCUUGGGGCACAUAUGAGUUGCCGUGGAGCCCUAGAUGGAUGUGUGUAUCCCGGAGUGUAUGCAGGCCAUGUGGGGAUGUGUAGGGACAGGAUUGGUGUAUCUUUGUGUCCAGUGUGGAUAUCUGGCUAUAUGUCCCAAGGUGAGCCUGACUGAAUGUGCCUUUGUCUCGGUCGUGUGUGAUGGCAGGGUGUAAUGCCUUGGUGUGGCUGCGUGUGACUGUGUGUGUGUGACAGUGUGUGUGCGUGUGUGCGAGUGUGUGUUUGGUGAGCGGCUCUGCUGCCUUAAGCACCUUUCGAAUACAUUGGCCACAGCUCAUUGAAUCCUUUAACAAUCUGACUCUGCUCUUCCUUCCCCGUUUUUUCUAAUUCAGUUCCUCUUAUUACAAAAAUAAAAAAUAAAGCGCUGCCCCUUUCCAGUGGCUGGCCCUGCGGAGCCCCCGCCUCGGGACCAGCCUCGUUUCACUCCAUUUCGGAGAAAACGGGAAGUCAGUAAUUUUAAAAAAUAUUUUCUACUUUAUUUGGGAUUUAAUGUUCUUACAGAAUCCUGCUG
RNAcentral lists this long non-coding RNA (1544 nucleotides) under Marmota monax (woodchuck). Lineage: Eukaryota; Metazoa; Chordata; Mammalia; Rodentia; Sciuridae. The record is from RNAcentral.